Molecule: transfer RNA, 63 nt
Filed under: Simianus niponicus
Lineage: Eukaryota; Metazoa; Arthropoda; Insecta; Coleoptera; Callirhipidae
Description: tRNA-Leu
Rfam family: tRNA
About the family: Transfer RNA (tRNA) molecules are approximately 80 nucleotides in length. Their secondary structure includes four short double-helical elements and three loops (D, anti-codon, and T loops).
Source: RNAcentral
UCUAAUGUGGCAGAAUAGUGCAAUGGUCUUAAACUCCGUACAUAAAGUCAACUUUCUUUAGAA